RNAcentral lists this long non-coding RNA (951 nucleotides) under Panax ginseng (ginseng). Its description in RNAcentral is "long non-coding RNA (PGIN_LNC005464)". Lineage: Eukaryota; Viridiplantae; Streptophyta; Magnoliopsida; Apiales; Araliaceae. The record is from RNAcentral.
UUCUUUCUUAAUGCAAUUGUUUUCACAAUCUGUAACUUAAAAAUCCAGCAAUCAACCAGUUCUCCUCCAAAAGAAUAAAGCAAAUACCCCCAACUUUAUAUGGUAGAUUCUGUCUUUCUAAGGAAAUGCUUUGAACAAAACAAACAUCCACAAAUUUAGGCAAACUUUUGAAAUAAGUUUUUGACAACAGAAACAAAAUAAAACCACAAUCCAGACAUGUACAUAAAGGGGUGUGUGAUUUUUGGUUGUUUUGAAGUGAGUUUAGUGAUAAAGAAAGAGGAAAUCAAAUAUAAAUACCUUCAAGGCCAGAUAUCAUCAAUGAGCAGCAAAACACCUUGUAAUCCAUUUCUUCUUUCACCAAGGGAACACUAAAAAACAAAUCCCUAACACAAAUUAAAGAACAAAAACACUUCAAAAACAGUCUCUUGAGCUUCUUCUUACCGUUCUAAUUCAUUCAAAUUCCUCGCAUUUACUCAUCCAAGUAAAGCCGAAACCGUACAGAUUAAAACUCUCACUCUCUCUAUCCCUCUUCUUCACUCAAACAAAGCCUGUAAAAUCAACAAAAAUAAAAAAAUCAGAUUCGAUCAAAGCUCCCUCAAACAAGUUUAUAAUUCAUCAAUAGACCAGUUAACUAAAAUACUAAACUCCAUAAAAACUUAGUUUCGGAGCUUGAAACUCAGAUUUUCUAGCAAAAUACACACGCCUAAAAGAGAAGGAAAUUACACACACAAUUGAAACUCAAAAGCAAGAAUUUCAAAAUCAAAUAACUCUCCAAAGCAAGAAUUUCAAAAUCAAAAAACUCUCAGACCUGAAUUUUGCUCUUCUUCUUUAUCACUUUCUCUCUUCAGAUCUACAGCAAAGAAAAUGAUAACCUAACACACCAUUCAUACAUACACAAACUCGCUCUACUUUCUCUCUCUAAAAUUACGUACUUUAUAGUUUAUACAAACA